Molecule: ribosomal RNA, 486 nt
Filed under: uncultured bacterium
Lineage: Bacteria
Description: partial 16S ribosomal RNA
Rfam family: Bacterial small subunit ribosomal RNA
Source: RNAcentral
AUUGAACGCUGGCGGCAUGCCUUACACAUGCAAGUCGAACGGCAGCACGGGUGCUUGCCCCUGGUGGCGAGUGGCGAACGGGUGAGUAAUACAUCGGAACAUGUCCUGUAGUGGGGGAUAGCCCGGCGAAAGCCGGAUUAAUACCGCAUACGAUCUACGGAUGAAAGCGGGGGACCUUCGGGCCUCGCGCCAUAGGGUUGGCCGAUGGCUGAUUAGCUAGUUGGUGGGGUAAAGGCCUACCAAGGCGACGAUCAGUAGCUGGUCUGAGAGGACGAGCAGCCACACUGGAACUGAGACACGGCCCAGACUCCUACGGGAGGCAGCAGUGGGGAAUUUUGGACAAUGGGCGAAAGCCUGAUCCAGCAAUGCCGCGUGUGUGAAGAAGGCCUUCGGGUUGUAAAGCACUUUUGUCCGGAAAGAAAUCCUUGGCUCUAAUACAGUCGGGGGAUGACGGUACCGGAAGAAUAAGCACCGGCUAACUACGUG